Molecule: long non-coding RNA, 380 nt
Filed under: Bos taurus (domestic cattle)
Lineage: Eukaryota; Metazoa; Chordata; Mammalia; Artiodactyla; Bovidae
Description: long non-coding RNA NONBTAT016053
Source: RNAcentral
CCUGCCUUACAGAAUGCUGUCAUUACUAAAGUGAGACUGAUAACUUUGAUGAUGGUUCUGAUGGAAUUCCAGGCAGGAGUUAUUCAAAUAGAAACCCAUGAGAUAAAAGAUUAUUUCACUGGUUAAGAAUAAGAAGGAAAUAUGCCAUGUUGGGUUAAGGACAGCUUCUGAGGGCUUCUUAAAAGUUUUCUCUUUAUAUACUACUGACCUAAAGUCAUUUCACCUCCAAGUAUUUAGAAGGGACUCUCAGGAAACACUACCUAAAUUCUUUCCUAAUUUUGUGAGAAAGGGAGAUAAAGGUCUUACCCGAAUCUCAGAGUCCUCUUUAACUUAAUGAGCAGCUCCCCAUUCUGCCUCUGGCACUUUCUGCUGCUUUUCUU